CGGGGUGUGGCUCAGCUUGGUAGAGCGUAUCGUUCGGGACGAUGAGGUCGCAGGUUCGAAUCCUGUCACCCCGA
RNAcentral lists this transfer RNA (74 nucleotides) under Lachnospiraceae bacterium. RNAcentral's name for it is "tRNA-Pro". It matches the Rfam family "tRNA". Rfam says of the family: Transfer RNA (tRNA) molecules are approximately 80 nucleotides in length. Their secondary structure includes four short double-helical elements and three loops (D, anti-codon, and T loops). Further hydrogen bonds mediate the characteristic L-shaped molecular structure. tRNAs have two regions of fundamental functional importance: the anti-codon, which is responsible for specific mRNA codon recognition, and the 3' end, to which the tRNAs corresponding amino acid is attached (by aminoacyl-tRNA synthetases). tRNAs cope with the degeneracy of the genetic code in two manners: having more than one tRNA (with a specific anti-codon) for a particular amino acid; and 'wobble' base-pairing, i.e. permitting non-standard base-pairing at the 3rd anti-codon position. Lineage: Bacteria; Bacillati; Bacillota; Clostridia; Lachnospirales; Lachnospiraceae. RNAcentral also lists the same sequence under 1 other name. The record is from RNAcentral.